GACGAACGCCGGCGGCGUGCUUAACACAUGCAAGUCGAACGGUGAACCUCUUCGGAGGGGAUCAGUGGCGAACGGGUGAGUAACACGUGGGCAACCUGCCCCCGGCUCUGGGAUAACUCCAAGAAAUUGGGGCUAAUACCGGAUGUUCACCGCUUCCCGCAUGGGUGGUGGUGGAAAGGGUUUCCGGCUGGGGAUGGGCCCGCGGCCUAUCAGCUUGUUGGUGGGGUAGUGGCCUACCAAGGCGACGACGGGUAGCCGGCCUGAGAGGGUGACCGGCCACACUGGGACUGAGACACGGCCCAGACUCCUACGGGAGGCAGCAGUGGGGAAUAUUGCGCAAUGGGCGGAAGCCUGACGCAGCGACGCCGCGUGGGGGAUGACGGCCUUCAGGUUGUAAACCUCUUUCAGCAGGGACGAAGCGCAAGUGACGGUACCUGCAUAAGAAGCACCGGCCAACUACGUGCUAGCAGCCGCGGUAAUACGUAGGGUGCAAGCGUUGUCCGGAAUUAUUGGGCGUAAAGAGCUCGUAGGCGGUUCGUCGCGUCGGCUGUGAAAACCCGGGAGCUCAACUCCGGGCCUGCAGUCGAUACGGGCGGACUUGAGUUCGGCAGGGGAGACUGGAAUUCCUGGUGUAGCGGUGAAAUGCGCAGAUAUCAGGAGGAACACCGGUGGCGAAGGCGGGUCUCUGGGCCGAAACUGACGCUGAGGAGCGAAAGCGUGGGGAGCGAACAGGAUUAGAUACCCUGGUAGUCCACGCCGUAAACGUUGGGCGCUAGGUGUGGGGGCCAUUCCACGGUCUCCGUGCCGCAGCUAACGCAUUAAGCGCCCCGCCUGGGGAGUACGGCCGCAAGGCUAAAACUCAAAGGAAUUGACGGGGGCCCGCACAAGCGGCGGAGCAUGUUGCUUAAUUCGAUGCAACGCGAAGAACCUUACCUAGGCUUGACAUGCACGGAAAAGCGGCAGAGAUGUCGUGUCCUUCGGGGUCGUGCACAGGUGGUGCAUGGUUGUCGUCAGCUCGUGUCGUGAGAUGUUGGGUUAAGUCCCGCAACGAGCGCAACCCUCGUUCCAUGUUGCCAGCACGUGAUGGUGGGGACUCAUGGGAGACUGCCGGGGUCAACUCGGAGGAAGGUGGGGAUGACGUCAAAUCAUCAUGCCCCUUAUGUCUAGGGCUGCAAACAUGCUACAAUGGCCGGUACAAAGGGCUGCGAUACCGCGAGGUGGAGCGAAUCCCAAAAAGCCGGUUUCAGUUCGGAUUGGGGUCUGCAACUCGACCCCAUGAAGUUGGAGUCGCUAGUAAUCGCAGAUCAGCAACGCUGCGGUGAAUACGUUCCCGGGCCU
This 1338-nucleotide ribosomal RNA is filed under the name uncultured bacterium. RNAcentral describes it as "bacterial SSU rRNA". It matches the Rfam family "Bacterial small subunit ribosomal RNA", at positions 28 to 1381 of the family's 1533-position model. The record is from RNAcentral.